RNAcentral lists this ribosomal RNA (497 nucleotides) under uncultured bacterium. RNAcentral's name for it is "partial 16S ribosomal RNA". It matches the Rfam family "Bacterial small subunit ribosomal RNA", at positions 28 to 507 of the family's 1533-position model. The record is from RNAcentral.
GACGAACGCUGGCGGCGUGCCUAAUACAUGCAAGUAGAACGCUGAAGCGAGGAGCUUGCUCUUCUUGGAUGAGUUGCGAACGGGUGAGUAACGCGUAGGUAACCUGCCUUGUAGCGGGGGAUAACUAUUGGAAACGAUAGCUAAUACCGCAUAACAAUGGAUGACACAUGUCAUUUAUUUGAAAGGGGCAAUUGCUCCACUACAAGAUGGACCUGCGUUGUAUUAGCUAGUAGGUGAGGUAAUGGCUCACCUAGGCGACGAUACAUAGCCGACCUGAGAGGGUGGUCGGCCACACUGGGACUGAGACAGGGCCCAGACUCCCACGGGAGGCAGCAGUAGGGAAUCUUCGGCAAUGGGGGCAACCCUGACCGAGCAACGCCGCGUGAGUGAAGAAGGUUUUCGGAUCGUAAAGCUCUGUUGUAAGUCAAGAACGGGUGUGAGAGUGGAAAGUUCACACUGUGACGGUAGCUUACCAGAAAGGGACGGCUAACUACGUG